RNAcentral lists this ribosomal RNA (460 nucleotides) under uncultured bacterium. RNAcentral's name for it is "partial 16S ribosomal RNA". It matches the Rfam family "Bacterial small subunit ribosomal RNA", at positions 338 to 795 of the family's 1533-position model. The record is from RNAcentral.
CCUACGGGAGGCUGCAGUGAGGAAUAUUGGUCAAUGGACGAGAGUCUGAACCAGCCAAGUAGCGUGAAGGAUGACUGCCCUAUGGGUUGUAAACUUCUUUUAUAUGGGAAUAAAAUGUUCCACGUGUGGGAUUUUGUAUGUACCAUAUGAAUAAGGAUCGGCUAACUCCGUGCCAGCAGCCGCGGUAAUACGGAGGAUCCGAGCGUUAUCCGGAUUUAUUGGGUUUAAAGGGAGCGUAGGUGGAUUGUUAAGUCAGUUGUGAAAGUUUGCGGCUCAACCGUAAAAUUGCAGUUGAAACUGGCAGUCUUGAGUACAGUAGAGGUGGGCGGAAUUCGUGGUGUAGCGGUGAAAUGCUUAGAUAUCACGAAGAACGCCGAUUGCGAAGGCAGUUCACUGGACUGCAACUGACACUGAGGCUCGAAAGUGUGGGUAUCAAACAGGAGUAGAUACCCUAGUAGUC